Small nuclear RNA from Artibeus jamaicensis (Jamaican fruit-eating bat), 106 nucleotides. NCBI's taxonomy places the organism in Eukaryota, Metazoa, Chordata, Mammalia, Chiroptera, Phyllostomidae. The record is from RefSeq and is a predicted model, not a curated record.
GCGCCGCUCAGACGGCUCGCACGCUGAACCUGGAAGGGUGCAGAGGAGAUCGCCAGGGCCCCUGUGCAAGGAUGACACACAAAUCUGUGUGGUGGUCCACAUUUUU